GAGGAUAUAGUUCAGUGGUAAAGGACAUGCUUAGCGUGCAUGAGGUCCUGAGUUCAAUCCCCAGUAUCGUCA
RNAcentral lists this transfer RNA (72 nucleotides) under Camelus bactrianus (Bactrian camel). It matches the Rfam family "tRNA". Rfam says of the family: Transfer RNA (tRNA) molecules are approximately 80 nucleotides in length. RNAcentral also lists the same sequence under 1 other name. The record is from Rfam by way of RNAcentral. Lineage: Eukaryota; Metazoa; Chordata; Mammalia; Artiodactyla; Camelidae.